Molecule: ribosomal RNA, 559 nt
Filed under: Exophiala pisciphila
Lineage: Eukaryota; Fungi; Ascomycota; Eurotiomycetes; Chaetothyriales; Herpotrichiellaceae
Description: eukaryotic LSU rRNA
Rfam family: 5.8S ribosomal RNA (bases 204-358)
Source: RNAcentral
AUCAUUAACGAGUUAGGGUCCCUCGCGGCCCGACCUCCCAACCCUUUGUCUACCUGACCACUGUUGCUUCGGCGAGCCCGUCUGUAAUGGACCGCCGGGGGGUACCUUGAUCGGCCCUCUGGUCCGCGCUCGUCGAUAGCCAAACUUUUAAAAUCUUAACCAAACGUGUCUCAAUCUAAGUAUUAUUUGUUAAAUAAAAGCAAAACUUUCAACAACGGAUCUCUUGGUUCUGGCAUCGAUGAAGAACGCAGCGAAAUGCGAUAAGUAAUGCGAAUUGCAGAAUUUCAGUGAGUCAUCGAAUCUUUGAACGCACAUUGCGCCCUUUGGUAUUCCGAAGGGCAUGCCUGUUCGAGCGUCAUUAUCACCCCUCAAGCCCCCGGCUUGGUGUUGGACGGUUUGGUGGAGGCCCCCUCGCGGGGCCACCGCCCCUCCCAAAGACAAUGACGGCGGCCUCGUUGGACCCCCGGUACACUGAGUUCUUCACGGGACACGUAUCGGACACAUGGGUUUACGGGACACGGUCUGCCUCCCCUCAGGGAGAAUCUUUCUAAGGUUGACC